Molecule: microRNA precursor, 167 nt
Filed under: Oryza barthii
Lineage: Eukaryota; Viridiplantae; Streptophyta; Magnoliopsida; Poales; Poaceae
Description: MIR812 microRNA precursor family
Rfam family: MIR812 microRNA precursor family
Source: Rfam by way of RNAcentral
UAUGGAAUUUGAUCGUCCGUCUUAUAUGUAAUUUUUUUAAUAUAGUAUUUUCAUUGUUGUUAGAUUUUAAAAGAUGAUUAAUAAUUUAUGCGUGACUUGUCUUUUCAUUUUUUUAUAAUUUUUUCAAAUAAGACAGACAGUCAAACGUUGGACACAGAAACUCAGGG